UCUACCUUCUUUUCUCUGCCGUGCUUUCGUCAGUGAAAACGGACCUUUCUGGGCAGGCAGCGCGGACACAGCAUUGAGAAAGGGGGGACGUUGGCAACCGCUCAGGACACUGCUCUCAAAGUACUUACACUUCAGUAAUGAAGAGUACAGCAAAAUUUAAAAGGACAGGGAAAUGAACUGCAGAUUUUGAGUGUGAACGAAUUGGGGUUGUGUGUUUCUUUCCCAUUUGUGUAUUUUUGUUAUUAUAGUUACUCCUUCCACAUUGCAAUGCCCCCCCCAAAACUGGAAACCUGCAUAAUUUUUUUUCGUCCUCCCCUCAUACCAGAGAAGUCUACAUUUUUUCUUUUCUUUUAACUUAAAGAAAUAUUGACCUUUAAAAUCCUAUAUAUCUUGGGACCAGCAUAUGUUAAGCACUACCUACUGCCAUAUAAACCAUUGUGACCAUAUUUAUGGACCUGCAUCAUCAGAGGUGAAACUGGUUGCGACUAGAGUUGCCUCCUGGAAACCUUAUUUGUUGUCCGCUGGCAUAUUAGCAAGAAAUGGAGGAGGAAAUAGGAUCAUGUGUGACCUUCAUGGUGGUGCGCUGGUGUCUCUUCUGGUAAAUACUUGUUAGAUUAGAAUUUGCAUAUACUCUCUGGUUUUAUCAUAGAGCCUAAAGUGUUUCAUGGUGUCACCUCCAAUGAAACCCGGAAGUGAUACCAGUGUGAUGCUGGGACACCAAUCCUCACUUCCUAAAUGGGUUGUUGGCUGCAACCUGGCAACCCAAGGAAGGUUCUCAGUCGUGGCACCGAAAUGUUGGAAUUCCCUCCCCAGGGAGAUAAGUGCGUCCCCCUCUAUUGCUGUCUUCCACCAGUGGAAUGAAAAAACCUACAAGUAUUUGUGCGUAUGGAAGGAAGCAAUGAACUUUGCAUGGAACCCCCAUGGAGGAGUGGGAAUGGCUGUUUUUUGUCCAUGGUGACCUCAGCCUCUGAAAAUCAAGCUCACUUUUAUCUGUGUAACUCCACUGUGGCAGGGGACACACUGAUUCCCCUAUUGAAUUCCAAUCACUGAGAUUUUGUUGUGUAAAAUUUCUGUCUCGUACACCCUCCUCAGAAGAAAGCAUUUGUUUGAAAUCAUUUCCACAUGCAAAGCGGCAGAAUUUAUCAUGCUGGCGAGCUGAGUAAUAUUCAGUUGACUGAAGUACAAAAAGACAUAUGCAUCCUAUCAAGAAUAAGCGACACUUGGUUGUCUUUCUAGGGCCCAUUCCUGUUUCUUAGGGCAUUUAUAUACCGCCCCUUCAGAUAUCUGAUUGAGGAAGCCUAAAUGAUUUUAAAAAAUUAAAAUAGAUGCAACUUGGGUUAGUGUGAUCAUGACCCAGUCGCUACUGGGCAGUAUUUUAAAGUGAAAUGGCUCAAAAUAUGCACUCAUUUACAUGUCUUCCAUCUCUGACUGCAAAAACUCAAGCAAGUAGAAAAGGGAAAGUGAAUAUCAGCUCUUAGUGUCCUCUUAGGCAUAUGACUUGCAUUUUCAAAAAGGAAGGAUUUCAAAGGCACCAGCACAUAUCUGUAUCGUUGCUUGUGGUGUAUGACUCACAUUGGACUAGAACCACAGUGUGCAAAGAAUGUCGUCUCAUUCUGUAAAAAGCCUAGCUUACAUAUGGUACCAUCCUGUGCAGAGUUUUGCCAUUCCAAGUCUAUUGCAAUCAAUGGACUUAAAAUGAUGAUGCUUAGGAUCACACUGUUAAUGUGCUCAGUUCAAAAUCACAAAUGCAUUGUAUAGCACGGGAAGGCUUAAAUGCAAUUGGAAAUUAAUUUUCUGAUAUGACCAUUUAUAGUUCAGAAACUGGGUAUGAAUGCAUUCAGAACAGCCUAUGUUUUUUUUUCCUCACAUGCACAAUAGCAGAAGAGCCAAGGAUUGGGGGGGGGUGGGGGACACCUGAAGUUAGCAAGUGUAAAUUGAGACCCACUUAGUGCUUAAUACAAGGAGGGGACAUUGAAUGGGUAUCAUGAAUCUCAGAUUUAAAACAGAUUGAUUUUGCUGUAUGAUAUGUGUUUAUCAGAUUCCAGAAGGGUAUCUAAGUUGGUUAGUUAAAGCAAAAAAUGCACUUGAGGGUAACAAAUAUAUUAUGUUAAUCCCCUUAAA
Sphaerodactylus townsendi is the source of this 2121-nucleotide long non-coding RNA. RefSeq lists it as uncharacterized. The transcript is spliced from 2 exons. The record is from RefSeq and is a predicted model, not a curated record. Lineage: Eukaryota; Metazoa; Chordata; Lepidosauria; Squamata; Sphaerodactylidae.